GACGAACGCUGGCGGCGUGCUUAACACAUGCAAGUCGAACGGAAAGGCCCUGCUUUUGUGGGGUGCUCGAGUGGCGAACGGGUGAGUAACACGUGAGUAACCUGCCCUUGACUUUGGGAUAACUUCAGGAAACUGGGGCUAAUACCGGAUAGGAGCUCCUGCUGCAUGGUUGGUGUUGGAAAGUGUCGGCGGUUGGGGAUGGACUCGCGGCUUAUCAGCUUGUUGGUGGGGUAGUGGCUUACCAAGGCUUUGACGGGUAGCCGGCCUGAGAGGGUGACCGGCCACAUUGGGACUGAGAUACGGCCCAGACUCCUACGGGAGGCAGCAGUGGGGAAUAUUGCACAAUGGGCGGAAGCCUGAUGCAGCAACGCCGCGUGCGGGAUGACGGCCUUCGGGUUGUAAACCGCUUUCGCCUGUGACGAAGCGUGAGUGACGGUAAUGGGUAAAGAAGCACCGGCUAACUACGUG
RNAcentral lists this ribosomal RNA (468 nucleotides) under uncultured bacterium. RNAcentral's name for it is "partial 16S ribosomal RNA". It matches the Rfam family "Bacterial small subunit ribosomal RNA", at positions 28 to 507 of the family's 1533-position model. The record is from RNAcentral.